UAACGCAGCUAACGCGUGAAGUAGACCGCCUGGGGAGUACGGUCGCAAGAUUAAAACUCAAAUGAAUUGACGGGGGCCCGCACAAGCGGUGGAUUAUGUGGAUUAAUUCGAUGCAACGCGAAAAACCUUACCUGGCCUUGACAUGUAACGAACUUUCCAGAGAUGGAUUGGUGCUCGAAAGAGAACGUUAACACAGGUGCUGCAUGGCUGUCGUCAGCUCGUGUCGUGAGAUGUUGGGUUAAGUCCCGCAACGAGCGCAACCCUUGCCAUUAAUUGCCAUCAUUUAGUUGGGCACUUUAAUGGGACUGCCGGUGACAAACCGGAGGAAGGUGGGGAUGACGUCAAGUCCUCAUGGCCCUUAUGGCCAGGGCUUCACACGUAAUACAAUGGUCGGCACAGAGGGUUGCCAAGCCGCGAGGUGGAGCCAAUCCCAGAAAGCCGAUCGUAGUCCGGAUUGUAGUCUGCAACUCGACUACAUGAAGUCGGAAUCGCUAGUAAUCGCGGAUCAGCAUGUCGCGGUGAAUACGUUCCCGGGCCUUGUACACACCGCCCGUCACACCAUGGGAGUGGGUUUUACCAGAAGUA
RNAcentral lists this ribosomal RNA (585 nucleotides) under uncultured bacterium. Its description in RNAcentral is "bacterial SSU rRNA". It matches the Rfam family "Bacterial small subunit ribosomal RNA", at positions 844 to 1428 of the family's 1533-position model. The record is from RNAcentral.